Molecule: ribosomal RNA, 429 nt
Filed under: Triticum aestivum (bread wheat)
Lineage: Eukaryota; Viridiplantae; Streptophyta; Magnoliopsida; Poales; Poaceae
Description: partial small subunit ribosomal RNA
Source: RNAcentral
AUGUCCGUCGUUUACGGCCCCCAGGAGGACGCGGAAAAGAUCGCCUUUCCGCAGGAGAUUCGCGAUAUACGUGCGGACUGCCCAGGGCCUUGGUUGCUUUGCGGUGACUUCAACUUGAUCCUUCGUGAUGAAGACAAGAAUAACGGCAACCUGAAUCGUCGCAUGAUGGGAAGAUUCCGCCGCCUCGUCAAUGAUCUUGCGCUCAAGGAGGUAUACCUCAAUGGGAGAAGAUUCACGUGGUCCAACGAGCAAACCCCGCCCACCCUGGUGCACCUAGAUCGCAUGUUUUGCACCGUGGACUGGGAGGAUGUGCAUGGUGACUGCCACUUGAGAUGCCUCGCCUCUGUUGUGUCCGACCAUUGCCCGCUCCUCCAUGACUGCGCACCCACGCACGUCGUGCAUCGGAGGUUCCACUUUGAGGAUUUCUAG